AUUUUACAAGAUUUUUAUUAAAAUUGUUAAUAGAUAACUGUUGUCAGUAGUGAUAAAAUAAAUAGCUUAAAUACUUGAUGAGAUCUCUAAAAGUGCUAUGAAUCCAUACUGUGGACCAAUCCUAACUAUUUUUUCUCUAUUACAGGAGCAAUGCCAUUAACUGAAAAAAAUUUUUUUCUACAAAAUAAUUUUUAAGGAUAUGCAUACUGGUAAUCCCUGUAUCCAUCACUGUGUUCCUGUCCUUCUUACCGUGGAUUCUACUCACAGAAACUUCCCCUCUGUGUGGGGCUUUUCCUUGGAGGGUUCUUUGGCUGAUGAAUUUAGAGAAGUCCUGGGACUCAGACUGCCCCAGCACUGAUUGUUUCUACAGCAUCCUUCACGCACCUGCAAAUGCAGCCUGCACCAUUCAUGGCCAGUUCUGUUGUCCUCUGCUAUCCCUCUCUUUCACUAGUAGAAAUUUGUGUGUGGAUGAAUGUUAUGUUCUCUGGUUUACAAGGACAUUCGAAAUUGCUUUACUUUCCCUCCCCAUCUUUAUUCACAGUUGUUGAAAUGAUCCUGGUGUGGUCUGAGGUUUGUGUCAACCCUCAUGUGUUUUGAGAAAGGUAGGGCUACCCGGUCACCACGUAUUAUUGUAGAUAUUGUCUAUAGGCCACUGGCUCUGAUGUCCUGUAGAUAGUGAAGAUGGUUUUCCUAAUAUAAUGUGUGUGGGGGGGGGCAGGGGGUGGAUCAGGAAUGAUUUUAAAACUACGCUGUUGCUGCUGCUGCCUUGUCCAUCACCUCACCUAUUCAUUUUUUACUAAUUUUUUACGGAUGUUUUCCUUGCCUUUAUUUCCUUAAGGAUUAUUAAACUCAUUUGUUUAGGGUACUUUUUGGGGUUUUGUGUCAUUAUUUCUAGUGUGAUUUCUCC
This 907-nucleotide long non-coding RNA is filed under the name Homo sapiens (human). RNAcentral describes it as "HSALNT0122981". The record is from RNAcentral. Lineage: Eukaryota; Metazoa; Chordata; Mammalia; Primates; Hominidae.